RNAcentral lists this unclassified non-coding RNA (219 nucleotides) under fungal sp. Its description in RNAcentral is "partial internal transcribed spacer region". The stretch from base 1 to 46 matches the Rfam family "Eukaryotic small subunit ribosomal RNA", at positions 1786 to 1831 of the family's 1831-position model. The record is from RNAcentral. Lineage: Eukaryota; Fungi.
AAGUCGUAACAAGGUUUCCGUAGGUGAACCUGCGGAAGGAUCAUUCAUAAUAAGUGUUGUGUGUGACGUGUUGUGUGCGCAAUGCCACUGUUGCCAAGGUGGCAGUGGCGUCUGCGCAUGCGCAUUUUUUCACUCCAUUUCAUCGCAUUUAUUCUAAUUACUGCUGCUCGCAUGAGCACAAACAACCGAAAACUGCCAGCAAUGGAUCACUCGGUUCUC